UCGAGUCAGGGUCUUUUAGGCCCGAAACUCCAACCCUAUGUUUAUUUACCGUGUUGCUUUGGCGGGCCCGCCCUCUGGCCGCCGGCGGUUUUUAACCGCUGGUCCGCGCUCGCCAGUAGCCUAAACAAAUUCUUCUCAACUAUGAUGUCUAAGUCGAAUGAUAAAUCAUUUA
RNAcentral lists this unclassified non-coding RNA (172 nucleotides) under uncultured fungus. Its description in RNAcentral is "sequence contains ITS1, 5.8S rRNA gene". The record is from RNAcentral. Lineage: Eukaryota; Fungi.